UAGGGAAUCUUCGGCAAUGGACGAAAGUCUGACCGAGCAACGCCGCGUGAGUGAAGAAGGUUUUCGGAUCGUAAAACUCUGUUGUUAGAGAAGAACAAGGACGUUAGUAACUGAUCGUCCCCUGACGGUAUCUAACCAGAAAGCCACGGCUAACUACGUGCCAGCAGCCGCGGUAAUCCGUUGGUGGCAAGCGCUGUCCGGAUUUAUUGGGCGUAAAGCGAGCGCAGGCGGUUUCUUAAGUCUGAUGUGAAAGCCCCCGGCUCAACCGGGGAGUGUCAUUGGAAACUGGGAGACUUGAGUGCAGAGGAGGAGGGUGGAAUUCCAUGUGUAGCGGUGAAAUGCGUAGAUAUAUGGAGGAACACCAGUGGCGAAGGCGGCUCUAUGGUCUGUAACUGACGCUGAGGCUCGAAAGCGUGGGGAGCAAACAGG
Molecule: ribosomal RNA, 429 nt
Filed under: Gemmatimonadota bacterium
Lineage: Bacteria; Pseudomonadati; Gemmatimonadota
Description: Gemmatimonadetes bacterium partial 16S ribosomal RNA
Rfam family: Bacterial small subunit ribosomal RNA
Source: RNAcentral